CCUACGGGUGGCAGCAGUGAGGAAUAUUGGUCAAUGGACGAGAGUCUGAACCAGCCAAGUAGCGUGAAGGAUGACUGCCCUAUGGGUUGUAAACUUCUUUUAUAUGGGAAUAAAAUGUUCCAAGUGAGGGAUUUUGUAUGUACCAUAUGAAUAAGGAUCGGCUAACUCAGUGCCAGCAGCCGCGGUAAUACGGAGGAUCCGAGCGUUAUCCGGAAUUAUUGGGUUUAAAGGGAGCGUAGGUGGAUUGUUAAGUCAGUUGUGAAAGUCUGCGGCUCAACCGUAAAAUUGCAGUUGAUACUGGCAGUCUUGAGUACAGUAGAGGUGAGCGGAAUUCGUGGUGUAGCGGUGAAAUGCUUAGAUAUCACGAAGAACUCCGAUUGCGAAGGCAGUUCACUGGACUGCAACUGACACUGAGGCUCGAAAGUGUGGGUAUCAAACAGGAUUAGAUACCCUUGUAGUC
Molecule: ribosomal RNA, 460 nt
Filed under: uncultured bacterium
Lineage: Bacteria
Description: partial 16S ribosomal RNA
Rfam family: Bacterial small subunit ribosomal RNA
Source: RNAcentral